CUAGAAUUUACCUAAGCCCAGAAGAAUAAAAAGUCACCUGUGUUUUAUUCUGGCUUUAUACUGUUUUCAUUUGUUCUGUUAUAAUUUUUGUAUAAGAAAUCCAGGAAUCUAUUUUGCUUCUGAAGUGGCUGUCCAAUCAGGAUUUACCUUUUACCACUUGGUUGGAGAGGUGGGGGAAGAAGAGACUGGAGGAAAUAGAAGCUGAAGACAGGACUAGAUGUGUCUCCCUCCCCAGCCUCCUUUCUCUGCAGAGGUGGAGGAAUCACGGAAGCUAUCGUGGCUUUAGGUGUUGACUUUUGUCAAUGUUUGCUGAAGCCAGGAGUGAAAUUGAGACAAUAUUCCGAUUCUUGGAACCUGAGUUAGCGUUAAAGGGGAUGACAAACAGGCUGUUGUUAGGAGGUAGUUCCAUGUAAUAGGAAGAGUUUCCACCUCCCUCAGAGGCUGCCUUUCUCGUUUCUCCAAAUGAUUUCGCGGUUGGCCUAAGUUUCCUUUACUUCUCCCUACGAUGGUGUAACAUUAGCUUGAAUGCUGACGCUAUGUGGUGGUGAGCGGCAGUGGGUGUAUCUUGCCCAUAAACCCUUGGAGGACAGUGGAGGACAGGGACUGACCAACUCACCCAAGGGUCCUCUGCAUGCACAUGGUCCCUGCACAUGGCACAUAGUUGGUGCUCAGAAGGCCUUUGCUGGAACAAAGGAAAACACAAGCACCCACAGCAGUGAUGGCUGAUUUUGUCGGGUCUGCAAUGGAGAUUAGUCACCACUAGGUGUCAUGGUGAGUCAAGAAACAUUUUGGCUCAUGGUUACAAAUUAUGCGUUUACUGUAUUCAUCUUCGUGCAUGCACACAUGCAAUGUUUUACAAAGCAUCUGUUGAGUGUCUACGGCACAACACACACGUUCUGGUGCUGGAGAUCCUGCCCUGGCUGAGCUUCUGGACCUGGUGGGGAGAAAUCCACAAUGAGUACUGAGACGACCGGCAAAAGCCCGGUGAAGGCACCUAGGAGUAGGGCCUGCUUACCCUGGAGGAGUCGGGAGCAGCUUCCACAGCAAGGAGGCUUCUAAGAUUUUUUGUUCUUUGUCAGCAUGAGUACCUGGGAUCUUACAUGUAGCCCCUGCAUCAUUUCAGAAAUGAUCUCCAGUGCCCAGGCUCUGAUGCCCAACAGACCUGAAGUUACAUCCCAACCUGAACAGGCG
Molecule: long non-coding RNA, 1191 nt
Filed under: Homo sapiens (human)
Lineage: Eukaryota; Metazoa; Chordata; Mammalia; Primates; Hominidae
Description: non-protein coding LINC01849:5
Source: RNAcentral